CCGUGUAGUGCGGGAGCUGGGAUGCGGCUGCGGGCGCCAGAGCCGAGGAGCAGCUCCAGGCGCGCGGUCUAGCCGGACUAGAAGAGGGGGUGGCCAGGUGGCGACAGGUUUCUCUGGGCGGGCGCGCGAUGCAGCGGGCGGCGGCGCUGGUCCGGCGGGGCUGCUACCCCCGGACCCUCGGCCCCUGGGGCCGUGGUCAGAGCAGCGCGGCCGCCGAGGCCUCGGCGGUGCUCAAGGUGCGGCCCGAGCGGAGCCGGCGCGACCGCAUCCUUACGCUCGAGUCCAUGAACCCGCAGGUGAAGGCGGUGGAGUACGCGGUGCGGGGACCCAUCGUGCUCAAGGCCGGCGAGAUCGAGCUCGAGCUGCAGAGGGGUAUCAAAAAACCAUUCACUGAGGUCAUCCGUGCCAACAUCGGGGAUGCCCAAGCCAUGGGCCAGCAGCCAAUCACCUUCCUCCGACAGGUGAUGGCACUCUGUACCUACCCGAACCUGUUGGACAGCCCCAGCUUCCCAGAAGAUGCUAAGAAACGAGCCCGGCGGAUCCUACAGGCUUGUGGCGGAAACAGCUUGGGAUCUUACAGCGCUAGCCAGGGCGUCAACUGCAUCCGUGAAGAUGUGGCUGCCUAUGUCACCAGGAGAGAUGGUGGUGUACCUGCAGACCCGGACAACAUUUACCUGACCACUGGAGCUAGUGACGGCAUUUCCACGAUCCUGAAGAUCCUGGUCUCCGGGGGUGGCAAGUCACGGACGGGUGUGAUGAUACCCAUCCCGCAGUACCCCCUCUACUCGGCGGUCAUCUCUGAACUCGAUGCCAUCCAGGUGAACUAUUACCUGGAUGAGGACAACUGCUGGGCCCUAAACGUGAAUGAGCUCCGGCGGGCCGUGCGGGAGGCCAAAGAGCACUGUGACCCCAAGGUGCUGUGCAUCAUCAACCCCGGGAACCCCACAGGUCAGGUGCAGAGCAGAAAGUGCAUAGAAGAAGUGAUUCACUUUGCCUGGGAAGAGAAGCUCUUUCUCCUGGCUGAUGAGGUGUACCAGGACAACGUGUACUCUCCAGACUGCAGAUUUCACUCCUUUAAGAAGGUGCUUUACGAGAUGGGGCCCGAGUACUCCAGCAACGUGGAACUCGCCUCCUUCCACUCCACCUCCAAGGGCUACAUGGGCGAGUGUGGCUACAGAGGAGGCUACAUGGAGGUGAUCAACCUGCACCCUGAGAUCAAGGGCCAGCUGGUAAAGCUGCUCUCGGUGCGUCUGUGCCCGCCAGUGUCUGGGCAGGCUGCCAUGGACAUCGUUGUGAACCCCCCGGUGCCAGGAGAGGAAUCCUUCGAGCAGUUCAGCAGGGAGAAAGAGUCCGUCUUGGGUAAUCUGGCCAGAAAAGCUAAGCUGACAGAAGACCUGUUUAACCAAGUCCCAGGAAUUCACUGCAACCCCUUGCAGGGGGCCAUGUACGCCUUUCCUCGAAUCUUCAUCCCUGCCAAAGCCAUGGAGGCAGCUCAGGUCAGGGGUGCCAGGCCCAUAAGAUGGCCCCCGACAUGUUCUACUGCAUGAAGCUCCUGGAGGAGACAGGCAUCUGUGUCGUGCCCGGCAGUGGCUUUGGGCAGAGGGAAGGCACCUACCACUUCAGAAUGACCAUUCUUCCUCCGGUGGAGAAGCUAAAGACGGUUCUACAGAAGGUGAAGGACUUUCACAUAAAGUUCCUGGAGAAGUACGCGUGACGACUCCUCAGGCCCCAGAGGGAGACCUGGCCCUCAGCCUUCCUCCUGAUGCCCACCCAGCCCAGACUGGAUUCGCCCCCCCAGCGACUCCGCCUCAGGCCUUACGAAGGCCACUGGUCGCUUUCAUCGUCAUUUUGCCCCAGGAGACUUCUUUCUUUGUGCCUUGAUGUUGGGAGCACCUCUCUUCUGAGCAAAUGUGAAUUGGGGUUGUCUCAGAAGCCCUGUUUUUUGAUGCAACCAAAGUAGAGGGGACUUGCUCAGCAUAUAUGGUGGUGUUCUCUGAAUCUGUUGUUGUUGCUUUUGGAAAAGUCUUUUGGGGUUGAAACAACCAGGGUGUGUUGGGUGAGCUGUUUCAGAUCUGGAGAAACAAGGUGUCGGGAAAUGUAUAACUUAACCAUGGUGAGGACUGGAAAUCACAAACUCACCACCAUGAUCUGUGAAAUAAAACCUUUAGCAGUAUGAAAAUCUAGUCCUUCAAACAGGAGAGCCUAGAGUCCACUGGAGGCUCCGAGAGGGCCCGCCCUUCUGACCUGGAGGCAGGCAGCCUGCUCUCAGACAAGAAUGGUAAGGGCAGCAGCACACGGGGCUGGACCGCAUGCCAGACUAGGUGGUGGCGGGCAGCGGGGGCUAUGGCCAAGGUCAGAGGGUCCUGCAGGGGAGGAGUGGGUGUGAGCCAGGCUCCGAUUUGAACCGGGCCUCCACGUGGGAGCACACAGCAGGUAGUGAGGACUCUGCACACACGAGGGCUUUGGGUGAAGGGUUCUCUUGGGCACGCUUAGGCUGGGACGCCCGUCCAGGGAUCUCCUUGGACUCCAGGGGCACAGGGUUCAGCCCAGCAAUAUCCCAGUCACGUAGAGGGAUUCUACCUGGUGGUGUGUGGAUCCAUCCCACUGUUACCCAGCAAACAAGCAGUCUCAUCCAAGGGCUUGAGUGAGCCUUUAGGUGAUAGUAGGGCAAGGAAACACCGAAAAUGUCCUAGUGAGGGAGGGGUAUCCUUAAGGACAUGAAGACAGUUAAACCACACACCCUUCCCAUAGUGUUUGUUGAGUUGUUUCAAGCGGAAUUUGGUCCAUUUCCUAGCUCUUAAUUGGUCAAAGUGCCUGGUAGCGUGGCUGCUGUGUACAUGUGAUCCGAUUCAAAGUUUAUAGAAGUAUUUUACCUUAUAUGCAAAGUGUUUUGCCUCCACAUCUGCUUCUGGCUCCCCUCCCAGACUCUGCAGACUGUCCUGUAGCAUCAGUCAUCUCUCGGGGGGGGGGGGGGGAGUUGGGGGAUCAUCCACCAAGUGCACAGUUUCCCUGGUAUGAGCAAACCUGGGUGCAGGGCCCAACCUGUGCCCCCAGAAAGUGGGCACUACGGGUGGCAGCAGGCUUACGCCCUCUUUUCCUACUGUGGGCCUUCCCUGGUGGGCAGUUAGGGAAGCCAAGGCCAGCUCAGGAGUCUGGGGAUCCAGCAAGUCCCAAAGUGGAAUUGAAGGGACUGGAGAGAAAUCUGAAAAGACUAAAGGAGUGAGCUUUGAAAGCAGCCUCCUGUGCUAUAAUUCCCAUGCCGGGUCCAUGCAGGGGAUGCAAUAGGAAACUUCAAACUGUCCUUACCACUAGCAUUACAGUCCCUAUGAAGAAAGUAGCCACAAUCUCAAGUAACAAAGGGAAUGUUUGGGGACUUUUUCUUCCUUAAAAAUUUGAGAAAAUUGCACUUGUGCUUGUUGAUGGUAUAAAAACCAGGAUGUGUCCCAGAGUUGUGAGAUUUCUGGUGGAAAGGUUAAAUAGUAGAAGCUAGUAUAUUUUUUAUAUUUUUGUAACAAUUGCUUUUUUCAUGGGGGGUGGGGUAGGGUUAGUAUUUGUAGUUUUAACAAGUCCAGUAGUUUUUUUAAUAAAUCUCUUCAGAUUAUAAAUAACCCCUAAAAACUUUGCAAUGUUUACAUGAUUUUUUAAAAAAGAUGUCAUAUACACUUGGUUUGGUUUUAAAAUAAAUGAGUAAAAACUUAAUAAGGUCAGCUGGUUUAGGAGGUUAACUUCAUUCAGGUAGGAACGCUGAUCAUGAUAGAUUUGAUUUUCUGCAGAUUCUGAUGUCUUGUUUGGGCACCACCAGAGUAAGUCGUUUGUCAUUUGAGGUUGCACUUUAAAUCCACACCUGUGAAGUUUUCUGCUGUUCAUCUAGAUCUGCCUGUGGGGAUGCUGGGCUAUACCUUGUUGGUCCAUCACCUUGCACCUUGAGGCCGGACUGGUUGUCCCCAUGUUUGUGGAUUUGCAGGAAGAGCUGACAGGCCUGCCUGUCCCUGUUUGCCGUUCUGGAUUCUCGUAGGCAUCUCCUGACAAAGGUACUUCGUGAUAAGCUCUGGUGGAAAUUUCUGAACAAUAAAAUAUAUGUCCAAAAUGG
Aethalodelphis obliquidens (Pacific white-sided dolphin) is the source of this 4090-nucleotide RNA transcript. It is a transcript of the gene named glutamic--pyruvic transaminase 2, with no coding region annotated. The record is from RefSeq and is a predicted model, not a curated record. The transcript is spliced from 12 exons. NCBI's taxonomy places the organism in Eukaryota, Metazoa, Chordata, Mammalia, Artiodactyla, Delphinidae.